AGAGCGAACGCUGGCGGCAGGCCUAAUACAUGCAAGUCGAACGGAUCCUUCGGGAUUAGUGGCGGACGGGUGAGUAACACGUGGGAACGUGCCUUUGGUUCGGAACAACUCAGGGAAACUUGAGCUAAUACCGAAUGUGCCCUUCGGGGGAAAGAUUUAUCGCCAUUAGAGCGGCCCGCGCCUGAUUAGCUAGUUGGUGGGGUAAUGGCCCACCAAGGCUACGAUCAGUAGCUGGUCUGAGAGGAUGAUCAGCCACACUGGGACUGAGACACGGCCCAGACUCCUACGGGAGGCAGCAGUAGGGAAUCUUGCGCAAUGGGCGAAAGCCUGACGCAGCCAUGCCGCGUGAAUGAUGAAGGUCUUAGGAUUGUAAAAUUCUUUCAGCGGGGACGAUAAUGACGGUACCCGCAGAAGAAGCCCGGCUAACUUCGUGCCAGCAGCCGC
This 444-nucleotide ribosomal RNA is filed under the name uncultured bacterium. RNAcentral's name for it is "SSU rRNA". It matches the Rfam family "Bacterial small subunit ribosomal RNA", at positions 26 to 518 of the family's 1533-position model. The record is from RNAcentral.